GGAGACAUAGCUCAGUGGUAGAGUACUUGCCUAGCAUGCAUGAGGACCUGAGUUCAAUCCUCAGUACUGCCA
This 72-nucleotide transfer RNA is filed under the name Marmota marmota marmota (Alpine marmot). It matches the Rfam family "tRNA". Rfam says of the family: Transfer RNA (tRNA) molecules are approximately 80 nucleotides in length. Their secondary structure includes four short double-helical elements and three loops (D, anti-codon, and T loops). Further hydrogen bonds mediate the characteristic L-shaped molecular structure. tRNAs have two regions of fundamental functional importance: the anti-codon, which is responsible for specific mRNA codon recognition, and the 3' end, to which the tRNAs corresponding amino acid is attached (by aminoacyl-tRNA synthetases). tRNAs cope with the degeneracy of the genetic code in two manners: having more than one tRNA (with a specific anti-codon) for a particular amino acid; and 'wobble' base-pairing, i.e. permitting non-standard base-pairing at the 3rd anti-codon position. Lineage: Eukaryota; Metazoa; Chordata; Mammalia; Rodentia; Sciuridae. The record is from Rfam by way of RNAcentral. RNAcentral also lists the same sequence under 1 other name.